Non-coding RNA from Treponema primitia ZAS-2, 268 nucleotides. NCBI's taxonomy places the organism in Bacteria, Pseudomonadati, Spirochaetota, Spirochaetia, Treponematales, Treponemataceae. The record is from Rfam.
ACUUGACGGCGUCCCAAAUCACCUAUAUACUUAAAAGUGCAUAUUUCAGAGGAAGCGAGGUGAAAAUCCUCCGCUGUCCCGUAACUGUAACCGAAUUUCAACAUUAAGGCCCAGAAUGCCUUGAUGUUCGCCGAUUCCGCCGUUUACGGCCACUGGCUAAAGGAUCCCUGUUCCAACAGGUGAUUCUGGCUGGGAAGGCCGGCAGAAUUGGUUCAGUUCCGACUGAAAACCCGGAAGCCAGGAGACUUUGGUAUGCGUAGGCCCCUUU